RNAcentral lists this ribosomal RNA (494 nucleotides) under uncultured bacterium. Its description in RNAcentral is "partial 16S ribosomal RNA". It matches the Rfam family "Bacterial small subunit ribosomal RNA", at positions 28 to 507 of the family's 1533-position model. The record is from RNAcentral.
GACGAACGCUGGCGGCGUGCUUGACACAUGCAAGUCGAACGGAAAGGCCUGCUUUCCCUUGUGGAUUGCGGGUACUCGAGUGGCGAACGGGUGAGUAACACGUGAGUGAUCUGCCCCCAACUUGGGUAUAAGCCUGGGAAACUGGGUCUAAUUCCCGAUAGGACUGCAGGGUGGUGCCUGUGGUGGAAAACGAUUUUCUAGUGGUUGGGGAUGAGCUCGCGGCCUAUCAGCCUGUUGGUGGGGUAAUGGCCUACCAAGGCGGCGACGGGUAGCCGGCCUGAGAGGGUGGACGGCCACAUUGGGACUGAGAUACGGCCCAGACUCCUACGGGAGGCAGCAGUGGGGAAUAUUGCACAAUGGGCGGAAGCCUGAUGCAGCGACGCCGCGUGGGGGAUGACGGCCUUCGGGUUGUAAACUCCUUUCGACCGCGAGGAAGCCACCUGGUUGGAAGGGUGGUGACGGUAGUGGUAGAAGAAGCACCGGCUAACUACGUG